AGUGAACGCUGGCGGUAGGCCUAACACAUGCAAGUCGAACGGCAGCACAGUAAGAGCUUGCUCUUACGGGUGGCGAGUGGCGGACGGGUGAGGAAUACAUCGGAAUCUACUUUUUCGUGGGGGAUAACGUAGGGAAACUUACGCUAAUACCGCAUACGACCUACGGGUGAAAGCAGGAGAUCUUCGGACCUUGCGCGAUUGAAUGAGCCGAUGUCGGAUUAGCUAGUUGGCGGGGUAAAGGCCCACCAAGGCGACGAUCCGUCGCUGGUCUGAGAGGAUGAUCAGCCACACUGGAACUGAGACACGGUCCAGACUCCUACGGGAGGCAGCAGUGGGGAAUAUUGGACAAUGGGCGCAAGCCUGAUCCAGCCAUACCGCGUGGGUGAAGAAGGCCUUCGGGUUGUAAAGCCCUUUUGUUGGGAAAGAAAAGCAGCAGGUUAAUACCCCGCUGUUCUGACGGUACCCAAAGAAUAAGCACCGGCUAACUUCGUG
This 492-nucleotide ribosomal RNA is filed under the name uncultured bacterium. Its description in RNAcentral is "partial 16S ribosomal RNA". It matches the Rfam family "Bacterial small subunit ribosomal RNA", at positions 29 to 507 of the family's 1533-position model. The record is from RNAcentral.